RNAcentral lists this ribosomal RNA (253 nucleotides) under uncultured bacterium. RNAcentral's name for it is "partial 16S ribosomal RNA". It matches the Rfam family "Bacterial small subunit ribosomal RNA", at positions 524 to 776 of the family's 1533-position model. The record is from RNAcentral.
UACGUAGGUGGCGAGCGUUGUCCGGAUUUACUGGGCGUAAAGAGCGCGCAGGCGGUCGUUCAAGUCGCGUGUGAAAGCCCCCGGCUCAACUGGGGAGGGUCACGCGAUACUGAUCGACUCGAAGGCAGGAGAGGGAAGUGGAAUUCCCGGUGUAGUGGUGAAAUGCGUAGAUAUCGGGAGGAACACCAGUGGCGAAGGCGGCGUUCUGGACUGCAACUGACACUGAGGAACGAAAGCCAGGGGAGCAAACGGG